GCAAUAGUAAUCCUGAACAGUACAAGAGCAACUGCAGGCUCAGACACUGGGUGUCUGUGCUUGGCUGAGGAGCCAGUAGUGUGACACUCCCAUCUGUGGGAUUAUGACUUCACACCUUUUAGUCAGACCUUCCAGAAAGGU
RNAcentral lists this non-coding RNA (141 nucleotides) under Lepisosteus oculatus (spotted gar). Its description in RNAcentral is "Eukaryotic large subunit ribosomal RNA". It matches the Rfam family "Eukaryotic large subunit ribosomal RNA", at positions 3013 to 3155 of the family's 3401-position model. Lineage: Eukaryota; Metazoa; Chordata; Actinopteri; Semionotiformes; Lepisosteidae. The record is from Rfam by way of RNAcentral.